Non-coding RNA from Characodon lateralis, 80 nucleotides. The record is from the annotation of a GenBank genome assembly. NCBI's taxonomy places the organism in Eukaryota, Metazoa, Chordata, Actinopteri, Cyprinodontiformes, Goodeidae.
UUCAUGGUGGUGCAGUUGGUAGCACUGUUGCCUUGCAGCAACAAAGUCCUGGGUUCAAUUCCUGUCUUUCUGCAUGGAAA